GGAAGGUUGUCCGAGUUGGCCGAAGGAGCACACCUGGAAAGUGUGUAGGCGUCACAAGCGUCUCAAGGGUUCGAAUCCCUUACCUUCCG
This 89-nucleotide transfer RNA is filed under the name Staphylococcus aureus. Its description in RNAcentral is "tRNA-Ser". It matches the Rfam family "tRNA". Rfam says of the family: Transfer RNA (tRNA) molecules are approximately 80 nucleotides in length. Their secondary structure includes four short double-helical elements and three loops (D, anti-codon, and T loops). The record is from RNAcentral. Lineage: Bacteria; Bacillati; Bacillota; Bacilli; Caryophanales; Staphylococcaceae.